This 1469-nucleotide ribosomal RNA is filed under the name metagenome. RNAcentral's name for it is "bacterial SSU rRNA". It matches the Rfam family "Bacterial small subunit ribosomal RNA". The record is from RNAcentral.
AGAGUUUGAUCCUGGCUCAGGACGAACGCUGGCGGCGCGCCUAACACAUGCAAGUCGAACGGAGAUGAUAAAAGCUUGCUUUGAUCAUCUUAGUGGCGGACGGGUGAGUAACACGUGAGCAACCUGCCUUUCAGAGGGGGAUAACGUUUGGAAACGAACGCUAAUACCGCAUAACGUAUACGGAUGGCAUCGUCUGUAUACCAAAGGAGCAAUCCGCUGAAAGAUGGGCUCGCGUCCGAUUAGCUAGAUGGUGAGGUAACGGCCCACCAUGGCGACGAUCGGUAGCCGGACUGAGAGGUUGACCGGCCACAUUGGGACUGAGACACGGCCCAGACUCCUACGGGAGGCAGCAGUGAGGGAUAUUGGGCAAUGGGGGAAACCCUGACCCAGCGACGCCGCGUGAGGGAAGACGGUCUUCGGAUUGUAAACCUCUGUCUUUGGGGACGAAAAAGGACGGUACCCAAGGAGGAAGCUCCGGCUAACUACGUGCCAGCAGCCGCGGUAAUACGUAGGGAGCGAGCGUUGUCCGGAAUUACUGGGUGUAAAGGGAGCGUAGGCGGGAAGACAAGUUGGAUGUGAAAACUGUGGGCUCAACCGACAGACUGCAUUCAAAACUGUUUUUCUUGAGUGAAGUAGAGGCAAGCGGAAUUCCUAGUGUAGCGGUGAAAUGCGUAGAUAUUAGGAGGAACACCAGUGGCGAAGGCGGCUUGCUGGGCUUUUACUGACGCUGAGGCUCGAAAGUGUGGGGAGCAAACAGGAUUAGAUACCCUGGUAGUCCACACCGUAAACGAUGAUUACUAGGUGUGGGGGCGUCAAGCUUCCGUGCCGGAGUUAACACAAUAAGUAAUCCACCUGGGGAGUACGGCCGCAAGGUUGAAACUCAAAGGAAUUGACGGGGGCCCGCACAAGCAGUGGAGUAUGUGGUUUAAUUCGAAGCAACGCGAAGAACCUUACCAGGUCUUGACAUCGUGCGCAUAGUCUAGAGAUAGAUGAAGUCUUUCGGGACGCAUAGACAGGUGGUGCAUGGUUGUCGUCAGCUCGUGUCGUGAGAUGUUGGGUUAAGUCCCGCAACGAGCGCAACCCUUACGAUUAGUUGCUACGCAAGAGCACUCUAAUAGGACUGCCGUCGACAAAACGGAGGAAGGUGGGGAUGACGUCAAAUCAUCAUGCCCCUUAUGACCUGGGCCACACACGUACUACAAUGGCAAUGACAGAGGGAAGCAAGAUAGCGAUAUGGAGCAAACCCCUAAACAUUGUCCCAGUUCGGAUUGCAGGCUGCAACCCGCCUGCAUGAAGCCGGAAUUGCUAGUAAUCGCGGAUCAGCAUGCCGCGGUGAAUACGUUCCCGGGCCUUGUACACACCGCCCGUCACACCAUGGGAGUCGGUAACACCCGAAGCCAAUAGUCUAACCGCAAGGAGGACGUUGUCGAAGGUGGGAUUGAUGACUGGGGUGAAGUCGUAACAAGGUA